UAUUACCAACGAAGUAGGUUC
RNAcentral lists this non-coding RNA (21 nucleotides) under Caenorhabditis elegans. Lineage: Eukaryota; Metazoa; Nematoda; Chromadorea; Rhabditida; Rhabditidae. The record is from RNAcentral.